GGGCCGCUCUCGCAGCAUAUGGAGGUUCCCAAGCUAGGGGUCUAAUCGGAGCUGUUGCUUCCAGCCUAUGCCAGAGCCACAGCAACGCGGGAUCCAAGUCGUGUCUGCGACCCACACCACAGCUCAUGGCAACACGGGAUCCUUAACCCACUGAGCAAGGCCAGGGAUCAAACCCACAUCCUAGUCGGAUUCGUUAACCACUGAGCCACACGGGAACUCCACACUCAUUUCUUUAGAGUCAUAAAAGAAAGUGUACUUUUUAAAAUUAUAGGCACACUAUUAACUCUUAUCCAAAUCUUUUUAAACUAAAAAUUCAUUAAUUUGAAUAAUUUGACCCAAAACGUACACAUCUCAGCCUUCAUGUGAACAAUUACAUGUCUGCCUCAUAAUUGAUGCAUAUUCCUUAUCUGAAGUAUUUCUCAAUUAAGAAAUUCCACAAAGACAUGUAUACUAUGUGCAUAUUUUCAGCCCCUAGAAUAUUUGGCAGAGGACAAUUUAAAAUUAUCAAAUAUUCAUCAACAGUCUUCACCGGCACCAAAGGAAAGAUGAUAGUCACUGAGUUUACAUAAUAUCCACCUGGCUCAAACUAAACUGAGCAAAACAGCCAAGAAUGCAAAAGCCUGAUUGAGCACAUAAUUUACCAUAAAAAACAGCUUUCAAAUAAAUCUAGAUUCAAUGUUGCCUCUCUAGUCGAUAUGCCCGCAAUUGCUUACUCGGCACACCCCUUCCUAAGGGAGGUCUCAGCCUACCUCCCAAUCUCUUUUGUCUUUCCUCCUGGCUCUUCCCCAUCACUUCAGGGCUGCUAAUCUACCGGCCCACUCUCUUUCUUUACUACCUGCUUGGAAACACAAUGAAAUCAUCUAGAGAGUUUUCAAAAUGUCUAGAUGUCUAGGUUGCUUCCCCAAAGAUUCUAUUUCCAUAGAUCAAGGGGAUGGCCGAGACCCAGGGCCGUGUGCUCCACAGGGAAAGAUGCUCAAGGGUCCACAGCAGCGGGGCUCCAGGCUCAUCUUCCCUUCACCACCACCUCCACUGUCCUCUGGACAACUCAAAAUCUAUUAAGAAGGAGAUCUGCUGUUAUUUCUAAGUGCUCUUUCUAGCACUUUGCUUUUCAGCGCAGUGGAUCUCAACAAGGGGGCUCUUUUGCAAUUUGGCGUGGCCUACAGGUGUUUUUGGUUGUCACAACUGAGAAUAUGCUACUGGCAUCUAGUGUGUAGAGGCCAGAGAUGCUGCUAAACAACCUGUAGUGCACCAACCAGCAUCCCCGCUACAAAAAAUCAUCCGGUCCAAAACGGCAAUAUUGCUGACGUUUAGAAAGUGCUUUGCCUGAAGCCUUUUUUCCUUCCUUAAUCACUCUGCUCACAUUAAUCAUUGAACAAAUAUAUCCAUUUCUCCCAAUUCAUCCUCCUCACCCCAGCUGUCUCCAGAGCCUCCCUAACCAUCCUUCUUUUCUAAUUCUAAUCACCUGCUGGAGUCAAGCGCUCCCCAAAUUAUUACAAAUAUCUACCAUCCCCAUAACAUUCUUGUUCCCUCCCAGCUGUAUUCCCUUUCAGUCCUAUAUUUCUGAUCAUCUUUAAUAAGGCCAAAGUACAGAAGGAUGGUUCCUCUAACAGCUGGUCCUCAUUGUCUCCCGUCCUUCAAGAAAACGAAACCUUUCACCCCAUAUGGUGCCUAUCAAGGGCCAGUGUUCCUCUCCAAGAUCUAAUGUUCUGUAUUUGUUGUCUCUCCCACCAACCACCUGACCCCCGUCUUUUUUAUUAUCUCCCUUCUGCUGUUCCCACCUCCCUUUUCGCAAAUGUUUGCAGUGAGCUUCCAGUAACCUAACUACCCCUCCCCAUUUUUUUAUCAAUCUUCCGCCUCAAUCCUACAGCUGGUCAGACAUUUUAUUCUCGUAGACCACUUAAAGCUCUCACACACCUUCACAAAGAAAUUUCCAUUUUCCUCUUUUCCAUUCCAAUUCUUUAGAAAGGUGGGUCAUGAUGGAGACAUAACUGGUGCUCCUACAAACGCAUGCCAUCCAGUUUUACCCAGGUCUUCGAUGAACUGAGCAAUCAAUUUAAUUUAUUGCUGUACUGUCUUCACAUUCCCCUCAGGGCCUGCCCCAAACCUAGGUCUCACUCACACAUCAUGUUGUUUCUUAAUCUACCAUGAGGAAUAGGGCCAUUCACCUUGGUACUUAACAUCUAGAGAGACACAAACUCUAUCCUAUAAGGUUGACAUGCCCUCAGAACGUACUCAAGUCCAUCUACUGAAAGGAUGAAAAUGCAACCUAACCCUCCCAGAACCCAGGAAGUUAAUAAAAAGCUCUAAAUGCCCCCGAAUUCCAGACCCUGCUCGCUGCCAGUAAAUAGGUAGAAGGUCACACUUCCUAUUGUUCUAGGGCCUGCUAUCCUGGCCUAAGUAAGAUAACAGGAAAUGAGUUGACUAAUCGCUUAUCUGGAUUCUGUAAAACUGACUAGCGCCAUAGAAGAAUUGAUUACACAUUGAAAGCCCUAGUGACCUAUCUUAAAUCUGUCACUCUGCCCAGGAGCCUACGCAGAUGCGGACCUCCGGAGCUAUUUUAAAAUGAUUGGUCCACGGAGCGCGGGCUUUCGCUAUUUUAAAUUGAUUGGUCCACGGACGCGGGCUUUCACUAUUUUAAAUUGAUUGGUCCACGGAGCUCGGGCUUUUGCUAUUUUAAAUUGAUUGGUCCACGGAGCACGGGCUGUCGCUAUUUUAAAAUGAUUGGUCCACGGAUCUCAAUAUUUUAAAAUGACUGGUUUGCGACGCACAGGCUUUGUUGUAAACCCCAUAAAAGCUGUCCCGAUUCCGCACUCGGGGCCGCAGUCCUCUACCCCUGCGUGGUGUACGACUGUGAGCCCCAGCGCGCUUGGAAUAAAAAUCCUCUUGCUAUUUGCAUCAAGACCGCUUCUCGUGAGUGAUUUGGGGUGUCGCCUCUUCCGAGCCCGGACGAGGGGGAUUGUUCAUUUACUGGCCUUUCACUACAAACUACACCCUGAACCCCUUCCUGGCCCUACUUCACCUCCCAUUUUCCCACUAUUUGCCAGUCAGACUCUUUGUUGUCACACACACCUGCCCAUUAAUUCUCACCAUUUUGCUACUAUCUUUUCUUCCUCCUGCAAUUCUCUUUUCUCUAGUCUCCGGCUAUGGAAACCUUAACUGUCCAACACCAGCCCUUCCUACCUUGGGAGAUGAGCCUAUGAGGAGAAAACUUGUAGCCUCUCCCAAGUCUCCUUAGUACUUCAUUCUUACUUCUCUUACAGUACGUACCCAUCCUGUACUAUACUUACUGCAGGGAUCUGCACUCUGUUACUCUCAGUUGUCCUAUCAUUAAAUAUCUUUGACAGAGGUCCAACUUGUUUCCAUUACCCAAAUCCACUCUUGACUUUUCCUACUUUGUAUUACAUACACAUAUAUGUGCACUUAUAUGUUUAUGUAUCUUAACCAUAUAUUAUAGCAUAUAUAUACAUGCAUGUCUUCAAAUGUUCCUGAAUUCACAGUAUCUGAAUUAAAAGUACUGAUAAGCAAUUGACUAGACUUCAAUAAAUAAAUAAAUAUUACCAAUAAGCAGAAACUCUUGAUGAAAUGGUAGAUACAACCCCCCGCCCCCCCGCACAAAAGAAAUGAAAAAUUUAUCAGCAAUUUUUUGCCUAUGUUUUAUGGAUCAGGUGGAGAGG
RNAcentral lists this long non-coding RNA (3674 nucleotides) under Sus scrofa (pig). RNAcentral's name for it is "lncRNA (ENSSSCG00040018898.1)". The record is from RNAcentral. Lineage: Eukaryota; Metazoa; Chordata; Mammalia; Artiodactyla; Suidae.